This 107-nucleotide small nuclear RNA is filed under the name Canis lupus familiaris (dog). The record is from RNAcentral. Lineage: Eukaryota; Metazoa; Chordata; Mammalia; Carnivora; Canidae. RNAcentral also lists the same sequence under 1 other name.
GUGCUCGCUUCGGCAGCACAUAUACUAAAAUUGGAAUGAUACAGAGAAUAUUAGCACGGCCCCUGUGCAAGGAUGACACACAAAUUCGUGAAGCGUUCCAUAUUAAA